UUAAAUUGAAGAGUUUGAUCAUGGCUCAGAUUGAACGCUGGCGGCAGGCCUAACACAUGCAAGUCGAACGGUAACAGGAAGAAGCUUGCUUCUUUGCUGACGAGUGGCGGACGGGUGAGUAAUGUCUGGGAAACUGCCUGAUGGAGGGGGAUAACUACUGGAAACGGUAGCUAAUACCGCAUAACGUCGCAAGACCAAAGAGGGGGACCUUCGGGCCUCUUGCCAUCGGAUGUGCCCAGAUGGGAUUAGCUUGUUGGUGGGGUAACGGCUCACCAAGGCGACGAUCCCUAGCUGGUCUGAGAGGAUGACCAGCCACACUGGAACUGAGACACGGUCCAGACUCCUACGGGAGGCAGCAGUGGGGAAUAUUGCACAAUGGGCGCAAGCCUGAUGCAGCCAUGCCGCGUGUAUGAAGAAGGCCUUCGGGUUGUAAAGUACUUUCAGCGGGGAGGAAGGGAGUAAAGUUAAUACCUUUGCUCAUUGACGUUACCCGCAGAAGAAGCACCGGCUAACUCCGUGCCAGCAGCCGCGGUAAUACGGAGGGUGCAAGCGUUAAUCGGAAUUACUGGGCGUAAAGCGCACGCAGGCGGUUUGUUAAGUCAGAUGUGAAAUCCCCGGGCUCAACCUGGGAACUGCAUCUGAUACUGGCAAGCUUGAGUCUCGUAGAGGGGGGUAGAAUUCCAGGUGUAGCGGUGAAAUGCGUAGAGAUCUGGAGGAAUACCGGUGGCGAAGGCGGCCCCCUGGACGAAGACUGACGCUCAGGUGCGAAAGCGUGGGGAGCAAACAGGAUUAGAUACCCUGGUAGUCCACGCCGUAAACGAUGUCGACUUGGAGGUUGUGCCCUUGAGGCGUGGCUUCCGGAGCUAACGCGUUAAGUCGACCGCCUGGGGAGUACGGCCGCAAGGUUAAAACUCAAAUGAAUUGACGGGGGCCCGCACAAGCGGUGGAGCAUGUGGUUUAAUUCGAUGCAACGCGAAGAACCUUACCUGGUCUUGACAUCCACGGAAGUUUUCAGAGAUGGAAUGGUGCCUUCGGGAACCGUGAGACAGGUGCUGCAUGGCUGUCGUCAGCUCGUGUUGUGAAAUGUUGGGUUAAGUCCCGCAACGAGCGCAACCCUUAUCCUUUGUUGCCAGCGGUCCGGCCGGGAACUCAAAGGAGACUGCCAGUGAUAAACUGGAGGAAGGUGGGGAUGACGUCAAGUCAUCAUGGCCCUUACGACCAGGGCUACACACGUGCUACAAUGGCGCAUACAAAGAGAAGCGACCUCGCGAGAGCAAGCGGACCUCAUAAAGUGCGUCGUAGUCCGGAUUGGAGUCUGCAACUCGACUCCAUGAAGUCGGAAUCGCUAGUAAUCGUGGAUCAGAAUGCCACGGUGAAUACGUUCCCGGGCCUUGUACACACCGCCCGUCACACCAUGGGAGUGGGUUGCAAAAGAAGUAGGUAGCUUAACCUUCGGGAGGGCGCUUACCACUUUGUGAUUCAUGACUGGGGUGAAGUCGUAACAAGGUAACCGUAGGGGAACCUGCGGUUGGAUCACCUCCUUACCUUAAAGAAGC
This 1556-nucleotide ribosomal RNA is filed under the name Escherichia coli. Its description in RNAcentral is "bacterial SSU rRNA". It matches the Rfam family "Bacterial small subunit ribosomal RNA". The record is from RNAcentral. Lineage: Bacteria; Pseudomonadati; Pseudomonadota; Gammaproteobacteria; Enterobacterales; Enterobacteriaceae.